AGAAUGAAAAAGCUGUUUUGGGAAGAUGUUCCAAACCCCAAGAACUGUUCCUGGGCACAAGGACUUAAUUUUCAGAAGGGCAGGGAGACCAUCAGGCCCACCUCAGCAAAUGGAGUUUGAACCUGCGCCCAAUGAUCUUCCCCCCUUCCAAAGAUGGCGGCACAAAGGAGCCACUCGAUGGUUAGAGGCUGAGCCGAGAACGGACAUUCUUUGAAGUCUAAUCAUGAUCACUACAGAUGAACCCAAUGUGCCACCUUCCCAACAUUCUGUAGAGUAUUAGAAGAUUUUUACAUUUUGAAGAAGGGGAAACAAAUCUAAAAAAUAUGUGGUUGAACUCUUGAGAACUAAAAUAUGGUGGAUGAUGUUGAUUUAGAACUUAAAAUAGAAGCGCAAAUUUGGGGUCAAGAGAUAGGUGUGAGUCCAAUUCAGUUCGAAUAUAUGAUUACACUUCAGGUCACCUUAAGCUUAAAAAGUAAUAUGGUAUCUGGGUUUUGAUUCAUCAUUUGUGUGGUCAUAAAACACUGAAAACUAUAACUGUUCUAUCUAUUCAAUAUCAUCGGGUAAGUAGCAGACAAUGCCGUAACUAGGUGAAAACUGCAGCUUCUGACACAUAACUUCGCAAACACAAUGAAUCUAAUUACAAGAUACAGUGUAACUAGUUUAUAUUUUUAUGUCCAAAAUUUUCCAUUUUGUAUUCUUUUAUAGACACCUGAGCUUAUAACCGGACCCAUGUGGGUGUUCUUUUGACUGUCUUGUAGUUUUUUUGUCUGUCCAACUUUGGUCAAUCUGGGAAUUCCCAUCUUCAGUAGUCUUGCAAAUGGCUUACGCACUAACUUCGAUUUCAGUUCAGGGAAGGCCAGAAGGUUGGGUGUGUGCUGGUCACAGGCCAGUGGAAGUUACAGUUCAUAACAGAAUGACCUGACAGAUCCAGAUCAGAUUGACCGGAUCAGAAAACACAUCAGCCUCCAAUUCAGCCUCUUUGUGAAAUUCUUGCCUAAAUUUAAUUUAUUUACACCGAACCACCCAAAGCUUCUGGCAGGCAGAGAUGUACACAGUGAUGCAAAAAGGGAGCUUUUAUUUGUAAAAUAGUUCAUGGCAAAGACAAGACGUUUCUUCCUGAAAAAAAAAAAAAAACCCUUGCUAUUUCUAUGAUAUCAGCAUAGUAAGUGUGUUAUGUUGCUCACAUUCAAAAUAAACCAAAGCCUCUGUUUGAGGAGCCUAAAUAAUAUUCAAAUUACUUCUAGAUCUCUUACAUUUAGAUUUCAUUCAUAGUUUUACUUGGCCAUAAAAACAACACUAAAAAUGAGUAAGAAUGUGUCCUUUUUUCCCCUUCACUGACUUUUGAUAGAUAUCAUUGGAAUGUAAAAUCUAAGUGUGAGAUUAUGAAAGGAUAUUCUCUAAUUCCUACCAGCUGAAUACAUAUUUAAUAUGCUCCCAGACUGUUCUAAAAUCUUGAAAAAUUAGAUGCAUAUAAUGAUUGAAACAAUUUUUUAAUGAAUAUACUUUUAAUAAAGGUUUAUAACCCAUUGAUAAAAUAUACUUCAAUAAUAUGCGGGUAUGCAAUUUCUUAUUAACUAUUAGUGAAAUCUUACAUCUGAAUGCAUUUGAAGACACGUGCAUUACUCAGCAUCAAUAAUUAGUUACCGAUUUAGAGAGCAUGCGAUAUACCAAAAAUAUCAUCUGAAGAGCAUUUGUGUCUUUGUGUGCUAUUGGCUCUUUGUAUUUUUUGUUUUCAUAUUGAUAGCACGUAAUGCCUUUAUUUGGUAACCAUAAUUUCUAGGUUCAUUUAAAUUUUAAGAAAUUCAAGACGUAUGUAGUAGUAAGUUUAAGAAAAAACAAAAUGAGCAAGUAAAUAUUUGAAGGAAAUCAUAAAUCUAAUGAUAGAUUUCUGUCAGAAAGAGAAAAAGCAUAGGAAGCUUUCGUCUAUUAUGUUCAUAGACUAACAGAAAAGGUUGUGUUAACAUGGUAUUUGUCAUUAUGCAGUAUUUUAAUAUCUAUAUAAGCCUAUUCCAUUUUUAUUAUAUUUAGUGUUUGGUAUAUUUAUUCUUUUAUAGUUAUAACCACCAAUAUGUUUCAUUUAAGAGUUUAAAACUAUGCUAAUUAAUUAUGUUUUUAUAUGGAAUACAUUUGCCAGUAUGAAGAAGAGUUGGGUAAAUUGUUAUUUCAGGCAAUAAAUUUGAAUUCAUUCUAGUGGUUUAAAAAUUGUAAAAUUCAAACGUUCAACCAUAUGUAUGUCUUACGAAUUGAACACAUUUUCAGUGGCACUUCAUUUAGCUGCGUCCAUUUUUCAGUGUGAUGUGUCCACGGUAGUCUUUAUUUUGCAUUUAUUUUUUCAAUAUGUUUAUGUUGUACGAAUUGAGCUUUUUACACAGAUUCUUGAUUUGUAGCUGUGUGACAGGAUUUUUUGUUGUGUUGUAACCAGCAUUCUUAUAAAAGAUACGAUGUGCAUUU
Ailuropoda melanoleuca (giant panda) is the source of this 2451-nucleotide long non-coding RNA. RefSeq lists it as uncharacterized. The transcript has 3 exons. Lineage: Eukaryota; Metazoa; Chordata; Mammalia; Carnivora; Ursidae. The record is from RefSeq and is a predicted model, not a curated record.